CAGUCGAGCGGACAGAUGGGAGCUUGCUCCCUGAUGUUAGCGGCGGACGGGUGAGUAACACGUGGGUAACCUGCCUGUAAGACUGGGAUAACUCCGGGAAACCGGGGCUAAUACCGGAUGCUUGUUUGAACCGCAUGGUUCAAACAUAAAAGGUGGCUUCGGCUACCACUUACAGAUGGACCCGCGGCGCAUUAGCUAGUUGGUGAGGUAACGGCUCACCAAGGCAACGAUGCGUAGCCGACCUGAGAGGGUGAUCGGCCACACUGGGACUGAGACACGGCCCAGACUCCUACGGGAGGCAGCAGUAGGGAAUCUUCCGCAAUGGACGAAAGUCUGACGGAGCAACGCCGCGUGAGUGAUGAAGGUUUUCGGAUCGUAAAGCUCUGUUGUUAGGGAAGAACAAGUACCGUUCGAAUAGGGCGGUACCUUGACGGUACCUAACCAGAAAGCCACGGCUAACUACGUGCCAGCAGCCGCGGUAAUACGUAGGUGGCAAGCGUUGUCCGGAAUUAUUGGGCGUAAAGGGCUCGCAGGCGGUUCCUUAAGUCUGAUGUGAAAGCCCCCGGCUCAACCGGGGAGGGUCAUUGGAAACUGGGGAACUUGAGUGCAGAAGAGGAGAGUGGAAUUCCACGUGUAGCGGUGAAAUGCGUAGAGAUGUGGAGGAACACCAGUGGCGAAGGCGACUCUCUGGUCUGUAACUGACGCUGAGGAGCGAAAGCGUGGGGAGCGAACAGGAUUAGAUACCCUGGUAGUCCACGCCGUAAACGAUGAGUGCUAAGUGUUAGGG
RNAcentral lists this ribosomal RNA (787 nucleotides) under Bacillus mojavensis. RNAcentral's name for it is "bacterial SSU rRNA". It matches the Rfam family "Bacterial small subunit ribosomal RNA", at positions 59 to 828 of the family's 1533-position model. The record is from RNAcentral. Lineage: Bacteria; Bacillati; Bacillota; Bacilli; Caryophanales; Bacillaceae.